Molecule: ribosomal RNA, 253 nt
Filed under: uncultured bacterium
Lineage: Bacteria
Description: partial 16S ribosomal RNA
Rfam family: Bacterial small subunit ribosomal RNA
Source: RNAcentral
UACGUAGGGCGCAAGCGUUGUCCGGAAUUAUUGGGCGUAAAGAGCGUGUAGGCGGCCUGCAAGGUCAGCUGUGAAAACUCGAGGCUCAACCUCGAGACGUCGGUUGAAACCAUCUGGCUAGAGUCCGGAAGAGGAGUGUGGAAUUCCCGGUGUAGCGGUGAAAUGCGCAGAUAUCGGGAAGAACACCCGUGGCGAAGGCGGCACUCUGGGACGGUACUGACGCUGAGACGCGAAAGCGUGGGGAGCGAACAGG